RNAcentral lists this ribosomal RNA (396 nucleotides) under uncultured bacterium. Its description in RNAcentral is "partial 16S ribosomal RNA". It matches the Rfam family "Bacterial small subunit ribosomal RNA", at positions 523 to 918 of the family's 1533-position model. The record is from RNAcentral.
AUACAGAGGGUGCAAGCGUUAAUCGGAUUUACUGGGCGUAAAGCGCGCGUAGGUGGCUAAUUAAGUCAAAUGUGAAAUCCCCGAGCUUAACUUGGGAAUUGCAUUCGAUACUGGUUAGCUAGAGUAUGGGAGAGGAUGGUAGAAUUCCAGGUGUAGCGGUGAAAUGCGUAGAGAUCUGGAGGAAUACCGAUGGCGAAGGCAGCCAUCUGGCCUAAUACUGACACUGAGGGGCGAAAGCAUGGGGAGCAAACAGGAUUAGAUACCCGGGUAGUCCAUGCCGUAAACGAUGUCUACUAGCCGUUGGGGCCCUUGAGGCUUUGGUGGCGCAGCUAACGCGAUAAGUAGACCGCCUGGGGAGUACGGUCGCAAGACUAAAACUCAAAUGAAUUGACGGGG